RNAcentral lists this ribosomal RNA (333 nucleotides) under Triticum aestivum (bread wheat). Its description in RNAcentral is "partial small subunit ribosomal RNA". The record is from RNAcentral. Lineage: Eukaryota; Viridiplantae; Streptophyta; Magnoliopsida; Poales; Poaceae.
AUGGAGGGCUCCAUCGCAAACGCAUUGUUCAACAAAUGGACAGUGCAGCAACAAUACAACAUAACCGAUAAGGCCAUACUUCCCGCAGAAUUUGCAAACAUCGUGCUCGGUGUUAAAAUUGGAGAAAAAGGAGGACUAGCAGAAUUCAAUGAGGAAGAAGCAUUGAAACAGUUUGCACCCCUUGUAAUAGGGAAGGAACUUUUAAAGAAAAAGCUGAUUAUGAUACCUCACAACACAGCUAAACACUACACAUUGUACGUGCUCAACAAGUACACGAGCUCCAUCGACAUACUUGACUCACUGAAUUACAGACACGAAGAUGGAAAAAAUUAA